GAACGCCAAUUCUGGGCCCAGCAAACAAGCACAGAUUGGUGGGACCAUAUAAUGUUGCAGAAAAUGAAAUUGAGUUGGAUCAAGUUAAACAGCAGCUAAUGAAUGAAACCAGUAAAAUCAGAGCUGAUAAUAAGCUGGACAUAAAUCUGGAAAGGAGCAGAGUGACAGAUAUGUUCACAGAUCAGGAAAAGAAUCUGAUGGAAGCAACUACAGAGUUUCAUAAAAAGUGACUUCUGUUUUCACUUGCUUAGCAAUAGCACUGGGAUUUUAUAGAUUUUGGAAAUAGACCCAGGGGAACUACUGCACUACAGAUAGAGGAAGAAAGGCCACCGACAUCAUAGAACAUCUGUUCGGUCAUACUGUGUUCGCUACUGCGGAUAUUCGUAGCGUCUUUGUUCUUGUAUUGAUAAUGUGUACUAAAAAAUAUUCUCUGUAAUAAUAAAGGUCAAAAUAGUUAGGGGCAAUAAUAGGAACCUUUCCUUAACUUCUAAUUGAUUCUUCAGUGGUCCUUUUUUCAAAAACCUCAUACAGAAGAAACACUGAAUCUGUGUUUAUAUAAAAUCAGAACUUUUUUGUCAUAAGAAUCAAAGAACAUGUCCCAUGAUUGAUUUUGGAAAGGUUCUGUUCUCAUGAACAUUUAUCCCACUCUCACGUCCCCGCCAAAGAAAAGUGUUUUACCAUCUGAUGUGACCAAAUGCAAAGAGUUAUUCUACUCUGAGACUUCAGUGCAUCUUAAACUACUGGAGCUGCAUGUUUAUAUUCCAUCCCGAUUCUCCUCUCCCCUGCCGGGUGAGAUAUGUCCCCACCUUUAUAAAAUUGUUAAAAUAAAGCCUUUUCAAAAGGAUCCUUUUCCCAGCAUAAAGCUGAGUCUUAUGGAUUAAAAAUGACUAAAAUGCUCACCCCUUCUUUGACAGUUUCCUCCACCCAUACAGCCAAAUGAUUUUUUUAACUCCCUUGUCUGAGGGGAAAUGUCACAUUUGGCAUUGUGUGUGUAUAACUCCCUGAGCAAGACAAAGGUUGGCUUUUGACUCCUUUCUGUUGCUGGAGAUACAGAACUCGUCUAUAUGGUCCAUAUCCUUUACCUGAAAGCAGAAUUUGGCUUGAAAUGUGGAAAACUUAAAUUUCUUGCAUGAAACUGCUGAUGCUCCUGCCUCCAGAUCCCUCUUGAAAGCAGGCGAGCACCACAGUCCUUGGGAAAUAAAUUGCUCCCAUUGACUGUUCUAAACCAAAUUUAAAUCUUGAUCUCUUUACCUUCUGCCAAUGGCUGAUAAAUUUCAAAAUUAAGACAUGACAGGAUGGGAUGAUAUUUUUGCAGAGUUUAAGCAACCAAUCGAAUUUUAUUAAAGUCCUUGUCACGAGAUUAUUUUUCACCACAAGUGUAAUUAAGUAACAGUGCCACUGCUUAGUUCCAUUCUUUACAGGUAACUGUGUUCCUAUUGAGUAAAUGUUAACUCUUAGUAGUCUCUGUACAGGGAGAGAGGUUUUGUAUACAGUACUGUAUAGAGGCAUUUUCAGGUGACUCUAGUUUACUGUUUACAAAUUGAAUUUGCUAGUGUCCUGUGAAUUUUAUAUUCUGUGUAUGAAAUUAUGUAUUUAAACACUCCCUUGUAGCAUAAUAAAAUUGUUACAUUGCUGUCCAAGAAA
Long non-coding RNA from Dermochelys coriacea (leatherback sea turtle), 1644 nucleotides. RefSeq lists it as uncharacterized. The transcript is spliced from 5 exons. Lineage: Eukaryota; Metazoa; Chordata; Testudines; Dermochelyidae. The record is from RefSeq and is a predicted model, not a curated record.